UUAGUUAGUUGGUGAGGUAACGGCUCACCAAGGCAAUGAUGCCUAGGGGUCCUGAGAGGGUUUUCCCCCACACUGGUACUGAGACACGGACCAGACUCCUACGGGAGGCAGCAGUAAGGAAUAUUGGGCAAUAGGCGCAAGCCUGACCCAGCCAUGCCGCGUGCAGGAUGACGGCCCUAUGGGUUGUAAACUGCUUUUGUAUGGGAAAAAACUCCCGCACGUGUGCGGGACUGAUUGUACCAUACGAAUAAGCAUCGGCUAACUCCGUGCCAGCAGCCGCGGUAAUACGGAGGAUGCAAGCGUUAUCCGGAUUCAUUGGGUUUAAAGGGUGCGCAGGCGGAUUAGUAAGUCAGUGGUGAAAGCUCCCGGCUCAACCGGGAAAAUGCCAUUGAUACUGUUAAUCUUGAGUACAGUUGAGGUAGGCGGAAUGUAUCAUGUAGCGGUGAAAUGCAUAGAUAUGAUACAGAACACCGAUAGCGAAGGCAGCUUACCAAACUGUAACUGACGCUCAUGCACGAAAGCGUGGGGAGCAAACAGGAUUAGAUACCCUGGUAGUCCACGCUGUAAACUAUGAUCACUCGCUGUUGGCGAUACACUGUCAGCGGCUUAGCGAAAGUGUUAAGUGAUCCACCUGGGGAGUACGAUCGCAAGGUUGAAACUCAAAGGAAUUGACGGGGGCCCGCACAAGCGGAGGAGCAUGUGGUUUAAUUCGAUGAUACGCGAGGAACCUUACCUGGGCUUAAAUGCAGAACGACCUCCCGAGAAAUCGGGACUUCCUUCGGGACGGACUGCAAGGUGCUGCAUGGUUGUCGUCAGCUCGUGCCGUGAGGUGUCGGGUUAAGUCCCAUAACGAGCGCAACCCUUAUCCUUAGUUGCCAACAGGUAAUGCUGGGAACUCUAAGGAAACUGCCUACGCAAGUAGUGAGGAAGGUGGGGAUGACGUCAAAUCAGCACGGCCCUUAUGUCCAGGGCUACACACGUGCUACAAUGGUCGGUACAGAGGGCAGCUACCUGGCAACAGGAUGCUAAUCUCGAAAGCCGGUCUCAGUUCGGAUUGGAGUCUGCAACUCGACUCCAUGAAGUUGGGUUCGCUAGUAAUCGCGCAUCAGCCAUGGCGCGGUGAAUACGUUC
Molecule: ribosomal RNA, 1131 nt
Filed under: uncultured organism
Description: bacterial SSU rRNA
Rfam family: Bacterial small subunit ribosomal RNA
Source: RNAcentral